AACCAGCACCUCAAGUGGUCAGGAUGAUUAUUGGGCCUAAAGCAUCCGUAGCCUGUUCUGUAAGUUUUCGGUUAAAUCUAUGCGCUCAACGUAUAGGCUGCCGGGAAUACUGCAGAGCUAGGGAGUGGGAGAGGUAGACGGUACUCGGUAGGAAGGGGUAAAAUCCUUUGAUCUAUUGAUGACCACCUGUGGCGAAGGCGGUCUACCAGAACACGUCCGACGGUGAGGGAUGAAAGCUGGGGGAGCAAACCGG
Molecule: ribosomal RNA, 253 nt
Filed under: uncultured archaeon
Lineage: Archaea
Description: partial 16S ribosomal RNA
Rfam family: Archaeal small subunit ribosomal RNA
Source: RNAcentral